GUGAACCACCUGAUCCCUUCCCGAACUCAGAAGUGAAACCGCUCAGCGCCGAUGGUAGUGUGGGGCCUCCCCAUGUGAGAGUAGGACAUCGUCAGGC
Molecule: ribosomal RNA, 97 nt
Filed under: Gammaproteobacteria bacterium
Lineage: Bacteria; Pseudomonadati; Pseudomonadota; Gammaproteobacteria
Also listed under: 1 other name
Source: RNAcentral